UAGUGUGACCAAUGGUUCUGUUUUGCCUGGGACUGAGGGAGCUCCUGGGACAGGGCACUCAGUUUUAAAACCAUGGCAGUC
This 81-nucleotide microRNA precursor is filed under the name Procavia capensis (Cape rock hyrax). RNAcentral's name for it is "miRNA (ENSPCAG00000020184.1)". Lineage: Eukaryota; Metazoa; Chordata; Mammalia; Hyracoidea; Procaviidae. The record is from RNAcentral.